RNAcentral lists this ribosomal RNA (654 nucleotides) under uncultured archaeon. Its description in RNAcentral is "bacterial SSU rRNA". It matches the Rfam family "Archaeal small subunit ribosomal RNA", at positions 508 to 1160 of the family's 1478-position model. The record is from RNAcentral.
GCCUAAAGCGUCCGUAGCCGGCUAUGUUAGUUUUCGGUUAAAUCCAUGUGCUUAACACAUGGGCUGCCGAAAAUACUGUAUAGCUAGGGAGUGGGAGAGGUAGACGGUACUCAGGAGGAAGGGGUAAAAUCCUUUGAUCUCUUGAUGACCACCAGUGGCGAAGGCGGUCUACCAGAACACGUCCGACGGUGAGGGAUGAAAGCUGGGGGAGCAAACCGGAUUAGAUACCCGGGUAGUCCCAGCUGUAAACUAUGCAAACUCAGUGAUGCAUUGGCUUGUGACCAGUGCAGUGCCGCAGAGAAGUCGUUAAGUUUGCCGCCUGGGAAGUACGUACGCAAGUAUGAAACUUAAAGGAAUUGGCGGGGGAGCACCACAAGGGGUGAAGCCUGCGGUUCAAUUGGAGUCAACGCCAGAAAUCUUACCCGGAGAGACAGCAGAAUGAAGGUCAAGCUGAAGACUUUACCAGACAAGCUGAGAAGUGGUGCAUGGCCGUCGCCAGCUCGUGCCGUGAGGUGUCCUGUUAAGUCAGGUAACGAGCGAGAUCCCUGCCUCUAGUUGCCACCAUUGCUCUCAGGAGCAGUGGGGCGAAUUAGCGGGACUGCCGCAGUUAAUGCGGAGGAAGGAGGGGGCCACGGCAGGUCAGUAUGCCCCGAA